RNAcentral lists this ribosomal RNA (355 nucleotides) under Clostridioides difficile. RNAcentral's name for it is "partial 23S ribosomal RNA". It matches the Rfam family "Bacterial large subunit ribosomal RNA", at positions 1660 to 2026 of the family's 2925-position model. The record is from RNAcentral. Lineage: Bacteria; Bacillati; Bacillota; Clostridia; Peptostreptococcales; Peptostreptococcaceae.
CAGGUGGGUGAGGAGAGUAUCCUAAGGCCAGCGAGAGAACUGUUGUUAAGGAACUCGGCAAAAUGACCCCGUAACUUAGGGAUAAGGGGUGCCACCAUCAGGUGGCCGCAGAGAAUAGGCCCAAGCGACUGUUUACCAAAAACAUAGGUUUCUGCUAAGUCGCAAGACGAUGUAUAGGAGCUGACGCCUGCCCGGUGCUGGAAGGUUAAGGGGAUCUGUUAGAGUAAUCGAAGCAGUGAACUUAAGCCCCAGUAAACGGCGGCCGUAACUAUAACGGUCCUAAGGUAGCGAAAUUCCUUGUCGGGUAAGUUCCGACCCGCACGAAAGGCGUAACGAUUUGGGCACUGUCUCAACA